UGGGGAAUAUUGCGCAAUGGGGGGAACCCUGACGCAGCAACGCCGCGUGAAGGAUGAAGGCUUUCGGGUUGUAAACUUCUUUGAUGAGGGACGAAAGAAAUGACGGUACCUCAAAAACAAGCCACGGCUAACUACGUGCCAGCAGCCGCGGUAAUACGUAGGUGGCGAGCGUUGUCCGGAAUUACUGGGUGUAAAGGGCGUGUAGGCGGGGAUGCAAGUCAGAUGUGAAAUGCCGGGGCUUAACUCCGGAGCUGCAUCUGAAACUGUGUUUCUUGAGUGUCGGAGAGGAAAGCGGAAUUCCCAGUGUAGCGGUGAAAUGCGUAGAUAUUGGGAGGAACACCAGUGGCGAAGGCGGCUUUCUGGACGAUAACUGACGCUGAGGCGCGAAAGCGUGGGGAGCAAAACAGGAUUAGAUACCCUGGUAGUCCACGCUGUAAACGAUGGAUACUAGGUGUAGGAGGUAUCGACCCCUUCUGUGCCGGAGUUAACACAAUAAGUAUCCCACCU
RNAcentral lists this ribosomal RNA (507 nucleotides) under uncultured bacterium. RNAcentral describes it as "partial 16S ribosomal RNA". It matches the Rfam family "Bacterial small subunit ribosomal RNA", at positions 355 to 874 of the family's 1533-position model. The record is from RNAcentral.